Molecule: long non-coding RNA, 524 nt
Organism: Oreochromis aureus
Lineage: Eukaryota; Metazoa; Chordata; Actinopteri; Cichliformes; Cichlidae
Exons: 3
Source: RefSeq, a predicted model, not a curated record
CUCUACCACCCAGCAGCGCGUCCUCACGGCCAAGGACGUUUUGGAACGCCACGAACAAAUGCUGCAGCUCAUCAAUCAGCAGUUGGCUGCUCUAACGCAGGCCCUCGCUCAGCGUGUACCUUUGGUAAACCCAGCAGCCUCUCCUCCCUCUGUCUCCUCACAGUUAUCGGCUUCUGAGCCUCCGGCACCCGGGCCUUCGGCUCCGCCUCAUCCCACUCCUUCGGAGCCCCCGGAGCGAGCUUUGCCAACACCGGAACCCUUCACGGGUGGACAAGCAUUUACGUGUGCGCUGGAGAACUGAGGACUACAUUUCCCAGAGGUCUCUGGGACGCGGCGAAGCAGCAUCGGGCGGAAGCGUCACGAGUGGCGGAAGAGAUUCGGAGUCACACAACAUGGAGGAGGAAUAUGAGGAGCAGACAGAGAGUGAAACUAAGUUCAGACGAAGGAUGACAGGUUGCCCUGGCAACAGACCUCAGAAAGGGGAAGUUAUUGCAAGCUGCACAGGAUGUAAGACACAAAGAAAA